This 109-nucleotide transfer RNA is filed under the name Ophiophagus hannah (king cobra). It matches the Rfam family "tRNA". Rfam says of the family: Transfer RNA (tRNA) molecules are approximately 80 nucleotides in length. Their secondary structure includes four short double-helical elements and three loops (D, anti-codon, and T loops). The record is from Rfam by way of RNAcentral. Lineage: Eukaryota; Metazoa; Chordata; Lepidosauria; Squamata; Elapidae.
GUCAGGAUGGCCGAGUGGUCUAAGGCGCCAGACUCAAGGCUCGUUCCUUCCCUGUGCUGGGUGUUCUGGUCUCCGAAUGGAGGCGUGGGUUCAAAUCCCACUUCUGACA